GAUGAACGCUGGCGGCAUGCCUUACACAUGCAAGUCGAACGGCAGCACGGACUUCGGUCUGGUGGCGAGUGGCGAACGGGUGAGUAAUGCAUCGGAACGUGCCAUUGAGUGGGGGAUAACGUAGCGAAAGUUGCGCUAAUACCGCAUAUUCUGUGAGCAGGAAAGCAGGGACCGCAAGGCCUUGCGCUCUUUGAGCGGCCGAUGUCAGAUUAGCUAGUUGGUGAGGUAAAGGCUUACCAAGGCGACGAUCUGUAGCGGGUCUGAGAGGAUGAUCCGCCACACUGGAACUGAGACACGGUCCAGACUCCUACGGGAGGCAGCAGUGGGGAAUUUUGGACAAUGGGGGCAACCCUGAUCCAGCCAUGCCGCGUGAGUGAAGAAGGCC
This 385-nucleotide ribosomal RNA is filed under the name uncultured bacterium. RNAcentral describes it as "bacterial SSU rRNA". It matches the Rfam family "Bacterial small subunit ribosomal RNA", at positions 28 to 416 of the family's 1533-position model. The record is from RNAcentral.